RNAcentral lists this small RNA (130 nucleotides) under Arabidopsis thaliana (thale cress). Its description in RNAcentral is "ATSL134350". Lineage: Eukaryota; Viridiplantae; Streptophyta; Magnoliopsida; Brassicales; Brassicaceae. The record is from RNAcentral.
AGUUUUUGUUAGUGACAUUGAUGAGUUCCUCGUCACAUUGUCCUCUUCUGUAUGCCACAACUGCUAGGGUAGGAUCACGUUUCUCGCAGUACUUACCCACAACCUUAGAGUCGUAGUAAGGGUUGGUGGU